Molecule: ribosomal RNA, 217 nt
Filed under: uncultured bacterium
Lineage: Bacteria
Description: partial 16S ribosomal RNA
Rfam family: Bacterial small subunit ribosomal RNA
Source: RNAcentral
UACAGAGGGUGCAAGCGUUGUUCGGAAUUAUUGGGCGUAAAGCGCGUGUAGGCGGCAUGGCAAGUCGGGUGUGAAAGCCCUCAGCUUAACUGAGGAAGUGCGCCCGAAACUGCCGUGCUUGAGUGCCGGAGAGGGUGGCGGAAUUCCCCAAGUAGAGGUGAAAUUCGUAAGAUAUGGGGAGGAACACCGGUGGCGAAGGCGGCCACCUGGACGGUAA